UGGGAGUGAUUAGUGGCGAACGGGUGAGUAACACGUGAGUAACCUGCCCUUAACUCUGGGAUAAGCCUGGGAAACUGGGUCUAAUACCGGAUAUGACUCCUCAUCCCAAGGUGGGGGGUGGAAAGCUUUUUGUGGUUUUGGAUGGACUCCCGGCCUAUCAACUUGUUGGUGAAGUAAUGGCUCCCCAAGGCGACCACCGGUAGCCGGCCUGAGAGGGUGACCGGCCACCCUGGGAAUGAGAACCGGCCCAAACUCCUACGGGAGGCAACAAUGGGGAAUAUUGCACAAUGGGCGAAAACCUGAUGCCACGACCCCCCGUGAGGGAAGACGGCCUUCCGGUUGUAAACCUCUUUCAAUAAGGAAAAAACCAAAGUGACGGUACCUGCCAAAAAAGCCCCGGCUAACUACCUGCCAGCCGCCCCGGUAAUACGUAGGGCGCAAGCGUUACCGGAAUUAUUGGGCGUAAAGAGCUCGAAGCGGUUUGUCGCGUCUGCCGUGAAGUCCGGGGCUCACUCCGGAUCUGCGGUGGGUACGGCAGACUAGAGUGAUGUAGGGAGACGGGAAUCCUGGUGUACGGUGAAUGCGAGAUAUAGGAGAACACGAUGGCGAAGCAGUCUCUGGCAUAACUGACCUGAGAGCAAAGCAUGGGAGCAACAGGAUAGAUACCUGGUAGUCAUGCCGUAACGUUGGCACUAGUGUGGGGACAUCCACGUUUCGCGCGUAGCUACGCAUUAGUGCCCGCCGGGGAGACGGCGCAGGCUAAACUCAAGGAAUGACGGGGCCGCACAGCGGCGACAGCGGAUUAU
RNAcentral lists this ribosomal RNA (806 nucleotides) under Micrococcaceae bacterium. RNAcentral describes it as "bacterial SSU rRNA". It matches the Rfam family "Bacterial small subunit ribosomal RNA", at positions 83 to 949 of the family's 1533-position model. The record is from RNAcentral. Lineage: Bacteria; Bacillati; Actinomycetota; Actinomycetes; Micrococcales; Micrococcaceae.